Molecule: ribosomal RNA, 279 nt
Filed under: uncultured bacterium
Lineage: Bacteria
Description: partial 16S ribosomal RNA
Rfam family: Bacterial small subunit ribosomal RNA
Source: RNAcentral
UGCCAGCCGCCGCGGUAAGACGGAGGGUCCUAGCGUUGUUCGGAAUGACUGGGCGUAAAGGGUACGUAGGCGGAUCGACAAGUUGGGGGUGAAAUCCCGGGGCUUAACCCCGGAACUGCCCUCAAAACUGUCGAUCUAGAGACCGGGAGAGGUAAGCGGAAUUCCUAGUGUAGAGGUGAAAUUCGUAGAUAUUAGGAAGAACACCAGUGGCGAAGGCGGCUUACUGGACGAGUAUUGACGCUGAGGUACGAAAGCGUGGGGAGCAAACAGGAUUAGAUA